This 506-nucleotide ribosomal RNA is filed under the name uncultured bacterium. Its description in RNAcentral is "partial 16S ribosomal RNA". It matches the Rfam family "Bacterial small subunit ribosomal RNA", at positions 29 to 523 of the family's 1533-position model. The record is from RNAcentral.
AGUGAACGCUGGCGGUAGGCCUAACACAUGCAAGUCGAACGGCAGCACAGAGGAGCUUGCUCCUUGGGUGGCGAGUGGCGGACGGGUGAGGAAUACAUCGGAAUCUACUCUGUCGUGGGGGAUAACGUAGGGAAACCUACGCUAAUACCGCAUACGACCUACGGGUGAGAGCAGGGGACCUUCGGGCCUUGCGCGAUUGAAUGAGCCGAUGUCGGAUUAGCUAGUUGGCGGGGUAAAGGCCCACCAAGGCGACGAUCCGUAGCUGGUCUGAGAGGAUGAUCAGCCACACUGGAACUGAGACACGGUCCAGACUCCUGCGGGAGGCAGCAGUGGGGAAUAUUGGACAAUGGGCGCAAGCCUGAUCCAGCCAUACCGCGUGGGUGAAGAAGGCCUUCGGGUUGUAAAGCCCUUUUGUUGGGAAAGAAAUCCAGCUGGCUAAUACCCGGUCGGGAUGACGGUACCCAAAGAAUAAGCACCGGCUAACUUCGUGCCAGCCGCCGCGGUAA